Non-coding RNA from Mycena alexandri, 95 nucleotides. The record is from the annotation of a GenBank genome assembly. Lineage: Eukaryota; Fungi; Basidiomycota; Agaricomycetes; Agaricales; Mycenaceae.
GACCGUGUGACUCAACGGUUAGAGAGUCCUUCCGUUGUCUUGUCCGUUGUUUAUAAUAUGUGAGGACGGCGCGGGUUCGACUCCCGCCGUGGGCA